AGCGGCAGGCUUAACACAUGCAAGUCGAGGGGCAGCACGGGUAGCAAUACCUGGUGGCGACCGGCGCAAGGGUGCGUAACGCGUGAGCAACAUGCCCUAUACAGGGGGAUAAUCCAGGGAAACCUGGUCUAAUAUCCCAUAGUAUUUAGAGGAGGCAUCUUCUAUAAAUUAAAGCUUCGGUGGUAUAGGAUUGGCUCGCGUGACAUUAGCUAGAUGGUGAGGUAACGGCUCACCAUGGCAAUGAUGUCUAGGGGUUCUGAGAGGAAGGCCCCCCACACUGGGACUGAGACACGGCCCAGACUCCUACGGGAGGCAGCAGUGAGGAAUAUUGGACAAUGGAUGGAAAUCUGAUCCAGCCAUGCCGCGUGCAGGAAGACAGCCCUAUGGGUUGUAAACUGCUUUUAUAUGGGAGCAAUAAGGUCUACGUGUAGACUGAUGAGAGUACCAUAUGAAUAAGCAUCGGCUAACUCCGUG
RNAcentral lists this ribosomal RNA (474 nucleotides) under uncultured bacterium. RNAcentral's name for it is "bacterial SSU rRNA". It matches the Rfam family "Bacterial small subunit ribosomal RNA", at positions 39 to 507 of the family's 1533-position model. The record is from RNAcentral.